AAGUCGUAACAAGGUUUCCGUAGGUGAACCUGCGGAAGGAUCAUUAUCGGGAGUGCCCUCGUGGCUUAACCUGCAACCCAAUGUUUAAACAACCUUGUUUCUUUGGCGGGCUCGCCCGUCAGAAGAACCCUUAAACUCAUUAUAAAUUUGUCUUCUGAAUCAAAUUUUAAUAAAUUAAA
RNAcentral lists this unclassified non-coding RNA (179 nucleotides) under plant metagenome. Its description in RNAcentral is "partial contains small subunit ribosomal RNA and internal transcribed spacer 1". The stretch from base 1 to 46 matches the Rfam family "Eukaryotic small subunit ribosomal RNA", at positions 1786 to 1831 of the family's 1831-position model. The record is from RNAcentral.